UGUAGGUGCUGGGAAUCAAAGCUGGGUCCUCUGGAAAAGCAUCCAACGCUCUUAACUGCUGAGCCGUUUCCCAGCUCCCUUUUAAAGGUGUCCUGUUUUGUUUAACUUGCUGUGUAGCUGAAAGUGUCCUUGAAUUCCUAGUCCCGGUGCUCCCAUCUUGGUUUCUCUCCUCCCCCUGCCAUGUCCAAAUACUGCCUCUUCUUGAUAUGUGAUGGUACCCAGAGAACCACAGGAUCUGUCUCCACUCCAGGAACUCUCCAGAGGCCUGGCCCUGCCAGCAGCAUUGCCCUUUUUGAAGCUGGAAAAGGGUCCCACCCCUGCCAAAGAGCGGCAGAAAACGAGAAACGGCGCUUCCUGGUAUUCUCCCUGGCCCUUGUAUCCUGUCUUCAAGCCUAAGGCCAAACAGCUCUGGGUCUCCCCAGACUGUCACCACCCCCGUCUCACCCUCACACCUAGCACAUCCCCAAAGAGUCUCUGAACGCCUCCAUCAGGAAGAAGCCAGCGAGCUUGGCGACAGAUGACUUAGCAUACUCUCUGGGUCUUACAGAGGUCGGGAACCCCACAUGGCCUCUGUCUCCUGCUCCACUCAGCACCGGGCUCCCUGAAGAUGUACCGCUUGCCUUUGGCACACAAGCUGCCCAGGCUGCUCAUAUACACAGUAGGCAGACUGCUUGGCGCUGCAGAGCACUGUAAUUUUUAAGGCCCAGUCUCAGUACUGACUCCAUCUGUCCCUCCUCAGCAGUCCAGGGAGGGGAAGAAGGCUGCUCAAGGUCCUGCAUGAUGAGAGCUCAUCCCUUAGCGCUUCCAGCAGGUGACAUCUCAGUCUCUAAACCACAUCCCUUUCUUCGGUGCCCCUUGUAGUAUCCCAGACUCCUGCCAGACUCCCCGUUUUUUGCUCAUUCACUGGCUGCCCCACACCAUCCCUUCUGCCCCUCAUGUGGGGAAGUAGGUUGGUGGGCAAUAAGAAUACAGCCGCAAAGCCCUGGACACAGGAUAAAAAGAAACCAAAAUCCUCUUUUUUUUUUUUUAAUAAAUUUAAG
This is a long non-coding RNA of Mus caroli (Ryukyu mouse), 1040 nucleotides long. RefSeq lists it as uncharacterized. The record is from RefSeq and is a predicted model, not a curated record. NCBI's taxonomy places the organism in Eukaryota, Metazoa, Chordata, Mammalia, Rodentia, Muridae.